AUUGAACGCUGGCGGCAUGCUUUACACAUGCAAGUCGUACGGUAACAGGCCUUCGGGUGCUGACGAGUGGCGAACGGGUGAGUAAUGCAUCGGAACGUACCCAGAGGUGGGGGAUAACGCAGCGAAAGCUGUGCUAAUACCGCAUGUGAUCUGAGGAUGAAAGCGGGGGACCGAGCAGCAAUGUUUGGCCUCGCGCCUUUGGAGCGGCCGAUGUCGGAUUAGCUAGUUGGUGGGGUAAAGGCCUACCAAGGCGACGAUCCGUAGCUGGUCUGAGAGGACGACCAGCCACACUGGGACUGAGACACGGCCCAGACUCCUACGGGAGGCAGCAGUGGGGAAUUUUGGACAAUGGGCGCAAGCCUGAUCCAGCAAUGCCGCGUGCGGGAAGAAGGCCUUCGGGUUGUAAACCGCUUUUGGCAGGAACGAAACGGUGCCCGCUAAUACCGGGCGCUAAUGACGGUACCUGCAGAAUAAGCACCGGCUAACUACGUG
RNAcentral lists this ribosomal RNA (492 nucleotides) under uncultured bacterium. RNAcentral describes it as "partial 16S ribosomal RNA". It matches the Rfam family "Bacterial small subunit ribosomal RNA", at positions 29 to 507 of the family's 1533-position model. The record is from RNAcentral.